UACGGAGGAGGCAAGCGUUAUCCGGAAUGAUUGGGCGUAAAGCGUCCGUAGGUGGCUCAUCAAGUCUGCUGUUAAAUCCAGUAGCUCAACUACUGAGGGGCAGUGGAAACUGAGGAGCUAGAGUGCGGUAGGGGCAGAGGGAAUUCCUGGUGUAGCGGUGAAAUGCGUAGAGAUCAGGAAGAACACCGGUGGCGAAAGCGCUCUGCUGGGCCGCAACUGACACUCAGGGACGAAAGCUAGGGGAGCGAAUGGG
Molecule: ribosomal RNA, 253 nt
Filed under: uncultured bacterium
Lineage: Bacteria
Description: partial 16S ribosomal RNA
Rfam family: Bacterial small subunit ribosomal RNA
Source: RNAcentral